This 70-nucleotide transfer RNA is filed under the name Uroplatus ebenaui. RNAcentral's name for it is "tRNA-Gln". Lineage: Eukaryota; Metazoa; Chordata; Lepidosauria; Squamata; Gekkonidae. The record is from RNAcentral.
CUAGGGGUAGUAUAUUGAUGUACAUAAAAUUUUGGAUUUUAUAGUACAGGCUCGGCACCUGUUCUCUGGU